GGAGGCGCGGGCGGCGCGGCCAGGACUUUGGCUUUGACACGGACGGCGAGCUGGAGCCGUGGCUCUGGUGCUGGGCACCGACGCGGUCCUGGCGGAUCCCGCGUCCGAGUCGGGCGCAGGACUUUUCGCCUCGAUCAACGCAACUGCGGCGACGCCGCAAGUCCUGGUGCAGCCUCAAGACUUGGUGCAGCCACGGCGGCCGGAUUUCGCCGCCGCUGCCACCUCCGCGCAGCCCUGCAGCUCCUGCCGGCUCUGGGAGAGCGACUCUGAGAGUUUCUCCCGCAGAAAGAGCCGGGACGCGCGGCCCGAGGAGGCCCAGCCACUGACCCGCACACGCGCGGGCACCAGGAUUGGAGGCGGGGGGCCCGCGCAGUCCUGGGUUGGGCUCAGGCUUCCGAGCCGCAGGUGGAAGGACGCCCCGGGGGAGCAGCGGCGAGGUGGCCAAGUGAAAGGUACUUUUGGACACCCUGGGCAUGGAGAUUUAGCGUUUGUCUUUGGUAACCGUUUCAUUCCCUGCAUCCCGAACCUUCCCUCCAUCUGUGCCAGUAAGGUUGUUGGGCUUCCUCCCUAGCCAGAGAGUUCUUCUGUGGGGGUGAGGCCUUCCCGGGCCACGGACCCUGGCCGGCAUGGGGAGCACGCUGGGCUGCCACCGCUCCAUACCGCGGGACCCCUCGGACCUGUCCCAUAACCGCAAGUUCAGCGCUGCCUGCAACUUCAGCAACAUCCUGGUGAAUCAGGAGCGGCUCAACAUCAACACGGCCACCGAGGAGGAGCUGAUGACCCUGCCUGGGGUGACGCGUGCAGUGGCACGCAGCAUCGUGGAGUACCGCGAGUACAUCGGUGGCUUCAAAAAGGUGGAGGACCUGGCACUGGUCAGCGGCGUGGGUGCCACCAAACUGGAGCAGGUCAAGUUUGAGAUCUGCGUGGGCAGCAAGGGCAGCUCUGCGCAGCACUCUCCCAGCUCCCUGCGGCGAGACUUGCUGGCGGAGCAGCAGCCUCACCACCUUGCCACGGCCGUGCCCCUCACCCCGCGUGUCAACAUCAACACGGCCACCCCGGCUCAGCUGAUGAGCGUUCGAGGCCUCACGGAGAAGAUGGCUGUCAGCAUUGUGGACUACCGCCGCGAGCAUGGGCCCUUCCGCAGCGUGGAGGACCUAGUGAGGAUGGGUGGUAUCAGUGCUGCCUUCCUCGACAGGAUCCGGCACCAGCUGUUUGCAGAGAGGUCCAGGCCCCCGUCUACCCACACCAACGGAGGCCUGACCUUCACCGCCAAGCCUCACCCCAGCCCUACCUCACUAAGCCUGCAGAGUGAGGACCUAGACCUGCCACCAGGGGGGCCCACCCAGAUCAUCUCCACCCGCCCUUCCGUGGAGGCCUUCGGAGGCACGAGGGAUGGGCGGCCAGUGCUGAGGCUGGCCACUUGGAACCUGCAGGGCUGCUCAGUGGAGAAGGCCAACAACCCUGGGGUGCGAGAAGUGGUGUGCAUGACGCUCUUGGAAAACAGCAUCAAGCUUCUAGCUGUGCAGGAGCUACUUGACAGAGAGGCCCUGGAAAAGUUCUGUACGGAGCUAAACCAGCCUAUCCUGCCCAACAUCCGCAAGUGGAAGGGGCCCCGGGGAUGCUGGAAGGCCGUUGUUGCUGAGAUGCCCUCCACUCAGCUCCAGAAGGGGGCCGGGUUCUCUGGAUUCCUGUGGGAUGCUGCGGCCGGGGUAGAGCUGAGAGACGCCACCUCGCAGGAAAAUUCGCCUGGUAAUGGGCACGGGAAGCCGAUGGGGCCCAGCCUGUACCUUGCGCGGUUCAAGGUGGGAAGUAAUGACUUGACCCUUGUGAACCUUCACCUGGCGGCCCUGACCCCCCCAGGGGGUGAGAAUCCAAGCAGGAAUCACAGUGACAGCCACCGCUUGGCUGGCUUUGUACAGACCUUGCAGGAAACCCUGAAAGGAGAAAAAGACAUGAUUUUUUUAGGGGAUUUUGGCCAGGGUCCUGACAGCAGUGACUAUGAUAUCUUGAGGAAAGAAAAAUUCUACCACCUGGUCCCUGCGCACACCUUCACCAACAUCAGCACCAAGAAUCCCCAAGGCUCAAAGUCUCUGGACAACAUCUGGAUCAGUAAAAGCUUAAAGAAGGUUUUCACAGGGUUGGAGUUCUCCCCCGAUGCUCCCACGCAGAUACCGUCCCACUGGAGUGAGAGAGCACCCCGCCUGGCAGAGGUCGCCCCGUCUGGAAUGGGAGGUGAGUGCACCAGGUGAGACUGCCACAGGGUCUGCUUUCAAAGGAAAGGAAUUCAUGGCUUCAGCACCGCCCAGUUCUCUUAAACUGUCUCUUGUCUUUAAAUAAGCCUUGUCCAUGCUUAUUGGCUCCUUACUGUCUUGAGCACUUGACACUUUUAACUGCUUUAUUCCUUCGAAGAGUCCAUUGUGGUUGGUCCUAUUGUUUGUGCCCUCUUACAGACGGAGGAACUGAGGCAGGGGGAAGGGAAGGAUGAGGGACUCUGGUUUCACUGUGAUAAGGAAGGCAGUUGGUCUAGGACAUGUCAAGCAGACCCAGAGGGCUGUGGAAAAUAAGUGGCCUUGACAAAGGCAGGUAGAGCUAAUGCCAAAGGGACAGGCCAGGGAGCUAUUGCUGGGGCUUCUGCCUUUCUGGAAACCAUGUGGGAGGCUGACCUAGGCAUUGGUCUUAGCCCAGCACAGACUGAGGAAAGCAGGUGGGAGAGGGCCAAGGGCACAGGGGCAGGACGAGCUUUGAAGGCCGCGGGGUGGGCUGGGGCAUCCUGGGACCUCCGGCUCUUGCCUCCUACAGUGUCUCCUGCCCCUCCCUUUUUCUCUGAUGGGUGCUGGGUGGCCCGGUUGGGCUUGGGAACAUGGGCAGUUCGGGUGCAUAAGAGCGGUGAAGUUCAGAGGCUAGUGAACGAGAGCAUCAGGCAAAAGGGUGUCGCUUUGUCUGCGGAGAGCCCUGUCCUUGGGUGGCAGUGGUUCCCCAUGGCCGGGGAAGGAGGAAGAAGAGGGAGAGGGAGAAAGCCUCUGAAGACCUUCCCCACCUGCUUGUGUCUUCCUGAGUCUGGGGUCAAACCACAUGAGGCAGGUUUCCUUUGGUGCUUGCGGUGGUGGGGAUGCUUUAUAGUUAGUCUGCUGAGCAGGCUGGGCUCCAGUCAACAGUCAGUGUCAGGAGAUGGACCUGCCUAGGCGCCCUGCCGACUUCCAGUAUGAUGAAUUAUUUAAUUAGAUGAUUAUCUGGGGGUGAGGGUGGGAGCAGCAAGGACUCAGGUUUUACUGUGAUGAGUGAGUGCAAUUGGCCUGCAUUGUGUGAUCGCAUGGAACCCACGGCCUUGGACAGAGUCCGACUUCGCAGCUGGAGGAAGGUGUCUGGCCCCUGGGCCCAGGCCCGCUGUGUUUCCUGUGGAAGUUUCUUCCUUCUGGGCUCUGAGAUGGACUGAGGUGGCAUUUUUAAAGAUUUUAUUUAUUUAUUUGCCAGAGAGAUAGAGAGCACAAGUAGGCAGAGAGGCAGGCAGAGGGAGAGGGAGAAGCAGGCUCCCUGCCGAGCAGGGAGCCCGAUGCGGGGCUUGAUGCCAGGACCCUGGGAUCAUAACCAAAGCCAAAGGCAGCCGCUUAACCGACUGAGCCACCCAGGUGUCCCCAAGGUGGCAUUUUUAAACAGAUUCCAGAGAUGGCUUUCUCUGAAAAGAAGGCCAACAGGACACUGUCCCUGUUGUCGGCUUUAAGGAAUCCUAUGAAUUUUCCUGCCUAGAAAAAUCCACCCCGCCCUUCACUGAGGAAAUGCCAGGAUGAAGCCAGCUAUGCCGUGGAUUUGCUGGGUGCUGUUAACAAAACACUGUUUUUCACAAUCAUCUUGGGUAAGUUUGAAGAUGAAGUUAGAAAAUGCUACACCAAAGCUGAAACUGGAUGACUCUGCUACAAGGAAAUAUGCUGGAGGGGUCAAGAGUGGUUUUCCAGUAUCUGGUUAGUGUUGGCACAAUGUGCCCCAACCCUGCACAGAAUCUACAGGCCACACCCCGGCCAUCAUGACACAUGUGUGCGUGCCUUUAAUGCUCCGAAGGGCCUGGCCUGCUACUUACCAAAGGUGAGAUGUGUGGCUUUGCAAGAACCACCAGGUGCCAGUUAGAAUAUAUCCUAUUUGCUGCAACAUUCUUCUUUGAGGCAAGCCCUUCUAGAUAUGUGAAUGAGAAAAAUCACAUAACCUAGCCUGCGUAAGAUUUCCUAAAAUCAUUUCCUAGCAUGAAUGUGAACCAGACUUUGCUGUAUGCAUCUACCAGUGUUAGCACCAUAUUUAAGCCUGAACUGAGGUAAAGAUAAACACUCAAGAUAGCUUUGGGUAAAAAUUACAGUAGCAAUUUUGAAUGGGGUGCUUACAGCAGUGUUCUUCCUGAUCAUUCAAAUAAGUUGUUUGAAGAACCAUUUGAUCCCAAGUAUAUAUAUCCAAUAUAUAUCGAAAUUGAUAAUACAAAGCUAGGUGUAUAAGCUUUUAACAGAGAAAAUACAGCAAAACAGAAUUCUCAUUUUUGAAAUUCAAACUAUGUCAUUAUUGGGUUAAUGAAGUCAAAGAUUUCGAUAAAAUAUACUGAGCCAACAUGACAAGGCCAGUUUAUCAAAUAGCAAUGUCUAGGAAUUCCAUUUUUCAGAGCAUGGUCAAGUUUAUGGUAGACACUACCUAGUCAGUAUCCGGUGCCUCCAAGAACUACAUUAAUCUAUUUGUAUCUUGCUAGUCGCUCCAUUUAAUAAAAAGGGGAGUAGCUUCUCUCUUCCCCAACUGUUUUAAUUUAUGUAGACAAACCUUUCUGGAACUUUUACUUAUCAUUUAUAUAAAGGAAUGGGGAGGGAAAGACCCUAAAACUUAAAAUCUUGAAGGUAUAUAAUGUUUCAGCAAAUAAAGUUUAGUUGAGAAAUAACUGGACAAAAUGAGGUAAUUCUCUAGUUCCUAUAAACUGAUAAGGUGAAACAAUGUGGAAGAUAAAGAACUAAUGAAAACUUUUCAAACUACCUUUCCCCUUUUUAACAUUACUUAACAUAUAAGAGAAAUAAGAAACCUUAGAUACAGCUAGCUUUGGGGAGCAAAACAAAACUAAUUUUUCAAAGGAGAACUAUAAUCACUUAUCAAAUAAAAUAUAAUCUUGGGAGUCUGAAGUCCAGUGUUGUCCUAUCUCUAUAGUUGGGGCUAGUCUUGGUGCUCAGGCAGAAGCACUAAGGAGCAGUGCUUACUGCCCACACAGCCUAUCACUUGAUUUGGCCAAGAUUCUUCAAAAACACUCACCAGUAGUAUUUUCAGUGGAUGCUGUUGAGAUUCAGAUAAAAAUAGGAGGAACUUCCCCCUGCAGCCUAUAGAAACGUUUAAGGUUUGUAUUUAACCUUUUUAAAAAAUUCAGUUGAAUACUGCAGAUCGUUCUUUAGAAAAGUCAUGUAAACAGUCAUUUUUCUUUUAUCAAUAUGCCGGUGCUAACAUACACAGAGGUAUAGCUUAGCUACAUCUGCCAGAACGCAGACUAAUAUAUAAGAUCUUUCAGUUCCCUGUCAGUCAGUUCAUUCACUUCCAUAAUCUUCUCUAAAUGUUCCAUGUAUCGGCCAUGGUCCUGCAGGAAAUGAGGGACCCUCAUGUUUUCAAUAACUGCCAAUCCUUUCAAGCGAUCCACAUCUUCGUAAGAGACCUGAAAAAAGGAAGGUGGGUUAAUUUUUAAAUGUAAGUAAUUUCUUCCCUAAGUCUUAAGAGAAACAUUACUUCAAUACCUGCAAAAUAACAAAAAUCAAUGGCUUCCUUUCCCUUACUGUAUUAAAUACAAAUGUAUUGGGGCACCUGGGUGGCACAUUAGGUUAAGUGUUCGACUCCUGAUUUCAGCUCAGGUCAUGAUCUCAGGGUUGUGAGAUGGAGCCCUGCAUUGGGCUCACGUUCUGGGCGUGGAGCCUGCUUGAGAUUCUCUCUCUCCCCCCUCCCUCUGCACCCAUACUAAAAAAAAAAAAAAAAAAAGUAUUGUUCUGCCUGCUCAUACCAUGACCAUAAAAAAAAAAAAAAUCAAGUCAGGGGCGCCUGGGUGGCUCAGUCGUUAAGCGUCUGCUUUCGGCUCAGGUCAUGAUCCCAGGGUCCUGGGAUCGAGUCCCGCAUUGGGCUCCCCGUUCUGCGGGAAGCCUGCUUCUCCUUCUCCCAUUCCCCCUGCUUGUGUUCCCUCUCUCGCUGUGUCUCUCUCUGUCAAAUAAAUAAAUAAAAAUCUUAAAAAAAAAAAAAAAUCAAGUCAGUAUUUAACAUUCUAUCUUGGACCUAUACUGUUUGUCUAGAAUUUACAUAACUAAACUUAAUACAUGUGUGUGAGAGACUAAAACCUAAACAAAUGUCCUGACUAAAUCUAAAUGAAAGAACCCAGGAAACAGCUAGAAUAUAAAUACCGUAUCACUGAAUUAGGAAAAUCAGCACGAUUAUAGACUGAAUUCCUAUUUCUAUUUAAUUUCAGAAAUAAAAUUGUUUUAUGUUAAAUUCUCUUUGUAAACAAGUAUCCUAUAAAAUCUUUUUACUUAUGUAAGAAGUAUUUUUUUUACUUUUAUAUUUUUAUUUUUUUAAUUAGGUAAGAAGCCAAUCUCUUGUAAGUAUUUAUAUUGAGUUUAUGGAUGAAACUCUUUAAGUUCUAAAAAUUAAGAUUCAGUAGAAAGGCUUUAAAUAAAGAAAUCAUGUUCAUUUAUACUUUAAUAAGUUUUCAUUUUUUUAUUUUAUCUAUUAGAGAGCACACAAGCAGAGGGAGAAGCAGACUCCCCGCUGAGCAGGGAGCCUGACAUGGGGCUUGAUCCCAGGACCCCAAGACCAUGACCUGAGCCAAAGGCAGACACUUAACUGAAUGAGCCACCCAGAUGCCCCUUAGGUUUUAAUUUUUAAGUUAUUAUUGAAAUUAUUUUGAGUAUUUCUACCACUAAGUAAUGAAAAUAGGUUUGUUGUUGAUACUGGUGUGGUUUAAUUUUUUCUUCUUCCUUCCUCAACCGACAAGACCUAUCCAUAAAUAUGUCCAAGAGAUAAACUGUAUAGGUUUCCUUUUAGGUUUUUGGUGUUUAAUCCAUUUUUAGUUUAUUUUUGUGUAUGGUGUAAGAAGGUGGUCCAGUUUCAUUCUUUUGCAUGCAGCUGUCCAGUUUUCCCAGCACCAUUUAUUGAGGAAGUGUCUUUUUUCCACUGUGUACUCUGCUUCUGUCAUAAAUUAAAUGAUCUAGGUUAUCCUGUUCCAAUGUUUUAUAUAUCUAUUUCUGUAUCAAUUCCAUACUGUUUCAAUUACUAUAGCUCUGUAGUAUAUCUUGAAAUCUGGGGUUAUUAUACUUCUAACCUAGUUCUUCUUUAUUAAGAUGGCUUUGCUACUUGACGUUGUUUGUGGUUUCAUACAAAUUUCAGGAUUGAUUAUUCUAGUUCUGUGAAAAAUGCUACUGGUAUUUUGAUUGGUAUUGCACUGAAUCUGUAUAUUGCUUUGGGUAGUAUGGACAUUUUAACAAAAUUAAUUCUUCCAAUCCAAGAACACAGUGUUAUCUUCCCACUUGUUAGUGUCAUCUUCAAUUUCUUUCAUCAGUGUCUUCUAGUUUUCAGAAUAUAGGUCUUUCACCUCCUUGGUUAAUUUAUUUCUAGGUAUUUUAUGCUUUUAGUACGAUAAGUGGGAUUGUUAAUUUCUUUUUCUGCUUUGUUGUUAUUGUAUAGAAAUGCAAUAGAUUUUUGUAUCCUGUAAUUUUACUGAAUUCAUUUAUUCUAACAGUUUUUUGGUAGAGUCCUUAGGGUUUUCUAUAUAUAGUAUGUCAUCUGAUGGUUUUACUUCUUUCUAAUGUGGAUGCCUUUUAUGUCUUUUUCUUGUCUGACAGCAAGGACUUCUAGUACUAUGUUGAAAAAAAAAAAAGUAAGAAUGGACAUCCUGGUCUCAUUCCUGAUCUUAGAGGAGUUUUGAAAAGCUUUCAGUUUUUUCAUUGUUGGCUCUUGGGUUUUAAUUUAUGGCCUUUAUUAUGUUGAGGUAUGUUCCCUCUAAACCUUUGUCAAGGGUUUUUAUCACUAAUGGAUGUUGUACUCUGUCAAACUUUUUUUUCCUCAUCUAUUGAAAUGAUGUGGUUUUAAAUUCUUUGUUAUUGAUGUGAUGUAUCAUGACUGAUUUGCAAAUACUGACCUGUAGUUUUUUUUGUAGUGACUUUGGUUUUAGUAUCAGGAUAAUGCUGGCCUUGCAGAAUGAAUUUGGAAAUUUUCUUUCCUCUUCUGUGUUUUUGGAAGAGUUUGAGAAUUAUAUUUACUCUUUGGUAGAAUUUAGAAUUCAUCCAUGGAGCCAUGUGGUCCUAGCUGUUGGGAGUUUUGUUUGUUGGGAAUUCAUUUAUUACUGAUGUAGUUUCAUUACUAGUAAUCAGUCUGUUCAAAUUCUCUACUUCUUCCUGAUUCAGUUUUAGAGGAUUGUAUGUUUCUAUUUUUGUGGUAUCCUAUUUCUCCUCUUUCGUAUCUGAUUUGAGUCCUCUCUUCUUAAUGAGUCUGGCUAAAGGUUUAUGAAUUUUG
Molecule: RNA transcript, 8493 nt
Organism: Mirounga angustirostris (Northern elephant seal)
Lineage: Eukaryota; Metazoa; Chordata; Mammalia; Carnivora; Phocidae
Gene: EEPD1
Gene name: endonuclease/exonuclease/phosphatase family domain containing 1
Exons: 9
Source: RefSeq, a predicted model, not a curated record